Molecule: ribosomal RNA, 472 nt
Filed under: uncultured Clostridium sp.
Lineage: Bacteria; Bacillati; Bacillota; Clostridia; Eubacteriales; Clostridiaceae
Description: bacterial SSU rRNA
Rfam family: Bacterial small subunit ribosomal RNA
Source: RNAcentral
CGCGUGAGUGAUGACGGUCUUCGGAUUGUAAAACUCUGUCUUCAGGGACGAUAAUGACGGUACCUGACGAGGAAGCCACGGCUAACUACGUGCCAGCAGCCGCGGUAAUACGUAGGUGGCAAGCGUUGUCCGGAUUUACUGGGCGUAAAGGGAGCGUAGGUGGAUAUUUAAGUGGGAUGUGAAAUACUCGGGCUUAACCUGAGUGCUGCAUUCCAAACUGGAUAUCUGCAGUGCAGGAGAGGAAAGUAGAAUUCCUAGUGUAGCGGUGAAAUGCGUAGAGAUUAGGAAGAAUACCAAUGGCGAACGCGACUUUCUGGACUGUAACUGACACUGAGGCUCUAAAGCGUGGGGAGCAAACAGGAUUAGAUACCCUGGUAGUCCACGCCGUAAACUAUGAAUACUAGGUGUGGGGGUUGUCAUGACCUCCGUGCCGCCGCUAACGCAUUAACUAUUCCGCCUGGGGAGUACGGUC